Molecule: ribosomal RNA, 491 nt
Filed under: uncultured bacterium
Lineage: Bacteria
Description: partial 16S ribosomal RNA
Rfam family: Bacterial small subunit ribosomal RNA
Source: RNAcentral
AGUGAACGCUGGCGGUAGGCCUAACACAUGCAAGUCGAACGGCAGCACAGUAAGAGCUUGCUCUUACGGGUGGCGAGUGGCGGACGGGUGAGGAAUACAUCGGAAUCUACUUUUUCGUGGGGGAUAACGUAGGGAAACUUACGCUAAUACCGCAUACGACCUACGGGUGAAAGCAGGGGAUCUUCGGACCUUGCGCGAUUGAAUGAGCCGAUGUCGGAUUAGCUAGUUGGCGGGGUAAAGGCCCACCAAGGCGACGAUCCGUAGCUGGUCUGAGGGGAUGAUCACCCAAAUGGGAACGGGGAGAAGGCCCAAACCCCAACGGGAGGACGGGGUGGGAAAAAUUGGAAAAGGGGCGGAGGCCUGAACCAGCAAUACCGGGUGGGUGAAAAAGGCCUUGGGGGUGUAAAGCCCUUUUGUGGGAAAAAAAAACAGGCAGGUUAAACCCCCGGUGUUUGGACGGAACCGAAGAAAUAAGAACCGGCAAACUGGGU